GUAAGGAAUAUUGCGCAAUGGGGGAAACCCUGACGCAGCAACGCCGCGUGGAGGAUGACACUUUUCGGAGCGUAAACUCCUUUUAUCAGGAAAGAAUAAUGACGGUACCUGAUGAAUAAGCACCGGCUAACUCCGUGCCAGCAGCCGCGGUAAUACGGGGGGUGCAAGCGUUACUCGGAAUCACUGGGCGUAAAGGACGCGUAGGCGGAUUAUCAAGUCUUUUGUGAAAUCUAGUGGCUUAACCACUAAACUGCUUAGGAAACUGAUAGUCUAGAGUAGGGGAGAGGUAGAUGGAAUUCUUGGUGUAGGGGUAAAAUCCGUAGAGAUCAAGAAGAAUACCCAUUGCGAAAGCGAUCUGCUGGAACCUAACUGACGCUGAGGCGUGAAAGCGUGGGUAGCAAACAGGAUUAGAUACCCCUGUAGUCC
This 426-nucleotide ribosomal RNA is filed under the name uncultured bacterium. Its description in RNAcentral is "bacterial SSU rRNA". It matches the Rfam family "Bacterial small subunit ribosomal RNA", at positions 354 to 796 of the family's 1533-position model. The record is from RNAcentral.